RNAcentral lists this long non-coding RNA (832 nucleotides) under Monodelphis domestica (gray short-tailed opossum). Its description in RNAcentral is "lncRNA (ENSMODG00000043789.1)". Lineage: Eukaryota; Metazoa; Chordata; Mammalia; Didelphimorphia; Didelphidae. The record is from RNAcentral.
GACAUAGUAGGUUUCCUUCAGAGGCUUAUGGCAUGAGACCCCCAUGGGCGACACUAAAUUCGAAUGAAUGGAAACAGUGGUUGGCUACAGCUGUGGCAUUAUGACCAGAGCCUGGAUGAUUUCUAUGAUGAUGAUGAAGAAGAGGGGGAUGGGGAAGGGGGGAAAGGAGCCAGGGGUAGGAGUAAGAGUAAGAGCCAGAAUAACCUCUGUGGUCUCUGGAAAUCCCUUCUGUCAGUCCUCUAGAACUCGGUCUAGCCCUAGUCCUAGCCCCCCACCCAGACUUUGGUCCAGCCCCAGCCCCCCCCCCUCAUCAGCUGUCCUCCCAGCCCUCUUGGCCCAUCCCUACUCCAACUGGAGAUGCCCCAGAAGCUGCUGCUCACUGAGGAGGAAGCUGACCCGAUUGGCAGAAGAGCUUGUGGCUGAGGAGGAACGAGCAAAUCGAGGAGCAGAAAAGAAACGGCUAAAGAAGAAGAUUGAGAGGUUGAGAACCGCUGUUCUAUUGGAUGUUUCUAACCAGGUGAUAGAAGAGGCUGCAGUCGCAGCAGGCCCAGCAGCAGAGGAAGAAUUGGAUUUGUCAAGCACCUUCGUGUCUCAAGCCCCUCACAAGGUUGGUGACUGGCCUCCCAAUACCCAGAAAGAGAAAGUGUUGAUCCCUGAGCCUCCAGCCUUGAACUCGCAGAGCCAGAGCCCACAGGAAGGGAGCAGGAGCCAGAGUCCUCAGCUAGAGAUUUGGCCCCCGACCAUUUAUCCUUCCGGUCCCAGUUCCUGUUCGAUUACCUUCAGUUCAGCACCUUCAAUUGCCAAAAACCUGGAGCCUCUAGGCAAAACUUAA